AACGGCCAUACCAUGUUGAAUAUACCGGUUCUCGUUAGAUCACCGAAGUCAAGGAUCAUUGGGCGCGGUCAGUACUUGGGUGGGUGACCACCUGGGAACACCGCGUGUCGU
RNAcentral lists this ribosomal RNA (111 nucleotides) under Caerostris darwini. Lineage: Eukaryota; Metazoa; Arthropoda; Arachnida; Araneae; Araneidae. The record is from RNAcentral.